UCUCGUCUUUCCUCCAAGCUAUACAUGUUAAGAUCCUUUAACCUUUCCUGGUAAGUUUUAUCCCGCAAUCCAUGAACCAGUUUAGUAGCCCUUCUCUGAACCCUCUCUAAGGUAUCAAUAUCCAUCUGAAGAUACGGUCUCCAGUACUGUGUACAAUACUCCAAGUGAGGUCUCACCAGUGUUCUGUACAAUGGCAUGAGCACUUCCCUCUUUCUACUGCUAAUACCUCUCCCUAUACAACCAAGCAUUCUGCUAGCAUUUCCUGCUGCUCUAUUACAUUGUCUG
Non-coding RNA from Pelobates cultripes (western spadefoot toad), 285 nucleotides. Lineage: Eukaryota; Metazoa; Chordata; Amphibia; Anura; Pelobatidae. The record is from the annotation of a GenBank genome assembly.